UGGCAAGAUGUUGGCAUAGCUGCUGAGACGGUCUGCUAUGCCAUCCGAUUGCCAC
This is a microRNA precursor of Gadus morhua (Atlantic cod), 55 nucleotides long. NCBI's taxonomy places the organism in Eukaryota, Metazoa, Chordata, Actinopteri, Gadiformes, Gadidae. The record is from Ensembl.